Long non-coding RNA from Manis pentadactyla (Chinese pangolin), 493 nucleotides. RefSeq lists it as uncharacterized. The record is from RefSeq and is a predicted model, not a curated record. Lineage: Eukaryota; Metazoa; Chordata; Mammalia; Pholidota; Manidae. The transcript is spliced from 3 exons.
UUGCUCCUACACUGGCUGGGCUCCCAAGCAACUGACAAGCUGUAUUUCCCUGGAUAGCUGGCAAAAUAAUAAUUCAACCAUUCAUCUGUUCUGCUCUGGAAAAGCUUGUGCAAACUGGGAUGGACCACCAGGCUGCCCACGUGGAAGGACCGGCUCCCGCCGCCCUGCUGAGGGACCUGCUCCAGCCCUCCAGAAGCCUCUCCAAGAAGCUGCUUCUCCAAGACCCUGUCUGCCGUAGCACCAAGACUGUAAGUUAGCAUCACUUUACACAACCUUUGUGUUGUUGUUGGAUAAGUAUUCAGGGUUCCCAGUACAAAGACCUUGUCUGUGUUGUUCACAGCUGAGCUGGGGAAUGAACUACAAAUGGUUAUGUUGAGCUAUAUUUUCUUUUGGGCUGCUGUUGAGAAGUCCUAUGCCGUUUAGAAUCCCCAGAAUGUAUCUAUGUGGUCAUUUUCUUCCCUUCUCUCUGGAAGAGCUUAUGACCCAAUCAUUA